This 499-nucleotide ribosomal RNA is filed under the name uncultured bacterium. Its description in RNAcentral is "bacterial SSU rRNA". It matches the Rfam family "Bacterial small subunit ribosomal RNA", at positions 29 to 516 of the family's 1533-position model. The record is from RNAcentral.
AGUGAACGCUGGCGGCAGGCCUAAUACAUGCAAGUCGAACGGCAGCACAGCAGAGCUUGCUCUGUGGGUGGCGAGUGGCGGACGGGUGAGGAAUACAUGGGAAUCUGCCCAGUCGUGGGGGAUAACGUAGGGAAACUUACGCUAAUACCGCAUGCGCCCUUCGGGGGAAAGCCGGGGACCUUCGGGCCUGGCGCGAUUGGAUGAGCCCAUGUCGGAUUAGCUAGUUGGCGGGGUAAUGGCCCACCAAGGCGACGAUCCGUAGCUGGUCUGAGAGGAUGAUCAGCCACACUGGAACUGAGACACGGUCCAGACUCCUACGGGAGGCAGCAGUAGGGAAUAUUGGACAAUGGGCGCAAGCCUGAUCCAGCCAUGCCGCGUGAGUGAAGAAGGCCCUCGGGUUGUAAAGCUCUUUGUCCGGAAAGAAAGCGCCGGGUUAAUACCCUGGUGUCCUGACGGUACCGGAAGAAUAAGCGACCGGCUAACUUCGUAGCCAGCACGG